AUUGAACGCUGGCGGCAGGCCUAACACAUGCAAGUCGAGCGGAGCGGCGGACGGGUGAGUAAUGCUUAGGAAUCUGUCUGGUAGUGGGGGAUAACGUCCGGAAACGGGCGCUAAUCCCUCAUACUAUCAGAUGAGCCUAGGUCGGAUUAGCUAGUUGGUGGGGGAAAGGCCUACCAAGGCGACGAUCCGUAACUGGUCUUAGAGGAUGACCAGCCACACUGGAACGGAGACACGGUCCAGACUCCUACGGGAGGCAGCAGUGGGGAAUAUUGCACAAUGGGCGCAAGCCUGAUGCAGCCAUGCCGCGUGUAUGAAGAAGGCAUUCGGGUUGUAAAGUACUUUCAGCGGGGAGGCGUUACCCGCAGAAGAAGCACCGGCUAACUCCGUGCCAGCCGCCGCGGUAAUUC
This 407-nucleotide ribosomal RNA is filed under the name uncultured bacterium. Its description in RNAcentral is "partial 16S ribosomal RNA". It matches the Rfam family "Bacterial small subunit ribosomal RNA", at positions 30 to 526 of the family's 1533-position model. The record is from RNAcentral.